AUCUGCAGUCAAGGCAGAGGAGGGAGGGGGGUGGCUACGGUCCUCAUGGCAACUGUAUGUAUACACUGGGUGUUCCCGAAAGUCAGGUCCUGAAAAAUCCUUAAAAGAUGGCAUUGUCUAUGCUGGAUGUGCUUCGGGUGUGCACCGUACUGGAGGACAGCCUAGAUCAACUCUCCGUUCUUGGAUACAUCAUGCCUGUCUCUUACCAUGGCCGCAGUGAUAUAGUUGGAAAUGAAAUUGGAAAGAUUCUAAAAACACAAAGACAACUGGAAGGGCAAUUCGAAGCC
Xenopus laevis (African clawed frog) is the source of this 287-nucleotide long non-coding RNA. RefSeq lists it as uncharacterized. The record is from RefSeq and is a predicted model, not a curated record. The transcript has 3 exons. Lineage: Eukaryota; Metazoa; Chordata; Amphibia; Anura; Pipidae.